This 425-nucleotide ribosomal RNA is filed under the name uncultured bacterium. RNAcentral describes it as "partial 16S ribosomal RNA". It matches the Rfam family "Bacterial small subunit ribosomal RNA", at positions 354 to 796 of the family's 1533-position model. The record is from RNAcentral.
GUUAGGAAUAUUGGACAAUGGGCGAAAGCCUGAUCCAGCCAUGCCGCGUGAACGAUGAAGGCCUUCGGGUUGUAAAGUUCUUUAGCCGAUGAUUAUAAUGACUGUAGUCGGAAAAUAAGCCCCGGCUAACUUCGUGCCAGCAGCCGCGGUAAUACGAAGGGGGCGAGCGUUAUUCGGAAUCACUGGGCGUAAAGCGUGCGUAGGCGGUUUUGUAAGUUAGGAGUAAAAGCCCAGGGCUCAACCUUGGAAUUGCUCUUAAAACUGCAAGGCUCGAAUCUCGGAGAGGAUAGCGGAAUUUCCAGUGUAGCAGUGAAAUGCGUAGAUAUUGGAAGGAACACCCGUGGCGUAAGCGGCUAUCUGGACGAGUAUUGACGCUGAGGCACGAAAGCGUGGGGAUCAAACAGGAUUAGAUACCCCGGUAGUCC